AAAGAAUCACAUGCAUACCUGAAUGCCUGCAAACUGAGCUAGGUGCAUGGAGGGGCAGAGGGGUAUUGCAAGCUGUGUGUGCCGCGCGUGUGUCAGAGGCUGGCUUCGGAGGAAGAGACUGAGGAAACGAUGUACGCAGAGGCUGCGUGGAGGAAUGAGCACAGUGCAUGAGGAGCGAUGAACCCUGGCAGAGAGUCUGGGCUUCUGAGCGUGUGACCAGGCAACAAAACAGGAGCCCAGAGAGGUCCUAUUUGGGGAUGAGUAGUUGAUCUGUCCUGGUAUCCAGGCCUUCUCAUCUGGGGCCAGGGCUUCUUGCCUUGCCAUUUGGCCCUCCUGG
Molecule: long non-coding RNA, 337 nt
Organism: Nycticebus coucang (slow loris)
Lineage: Eukaryota; Metazoa; Chordata; Mammalia; Primates; Lorisidae
Exons: 3
Source: RefSeq, a predicted model, not a curated record